Molecule: long non-coding RNA, 433 nt
Organism: Dendrobium catenatum
Lineage: Eukaryota; Viridiplantae; Streptophyta; Magnoliopsida; Asparagales; Orchidaceae
Exons: 3
Source: RefSeq, a predicted model, not a curated record
UUAAGCUAUAGUUUUUUUAGUUUUCUAACUUUGGAUGUCUUUAUUAUUUAGUUGGAUGUUUUAGUUGCAAAGGAUUUCCGAGAAGCAGAUAUUCAGGGAGUUAUUGCUGAGGUUCCUGAUAUAUUACUAAGGUGUGUUAGCAAAGAUGAGGCCGCCUUGGCUGUUGCACAAAAGGUAUUCAAAAGUUUGUACGAGAGCUCAUCAAAUGCUACUUAUGUUGGCGCUUACCUAGCAAUUCUUGCUGCUAUACGAGAUGUUUGCAAACUUGUUGUUAAAGAGCUUACUAGCUGGGUAUAACUCUAUAUCUUAAUGCUUCCUUUGGCAAGAUCUGACCGUUUUUAAUAUCAUAACUGUUUUGUUAUUACGUGGUUGUUUUACCAAGACAUUCAAUACAUUCUAUUUUCUGAUUAGCAUGCUAUAAUUUCUUCUUUUC